GAUGAACGCUGGCGGCGUGCUUAACACAUGCAAGUCGAACGGAAAGGCCCAAGCUUGCUUGGGUACUCGAGUGGCGAACGGGUGAGUAACACGUGGGUGAUCUGCCCUGCACUUCGGGAUAAGCCUGGGAAACUGGGUCUAAUACCGGAUAGGACCACUUCUUGGAUGUUGUGGUGGAAAGUUUUCUCGGUGUGGGAUGAGCUCGCGGCCUAUCAGCUUGUUGGUGGGGUAGUGGCCUACCAAGGCGUCGACGGGUAGCCGGCCUGAGAGGGUGUACGGCCACAUUGGGACUGAGAUACGGCCCAGACUCCUACGGGAGGCAGCAGUGGGGAAUAUUGCACAAUGGGCGCAAGCCUGAUGCAGCGACGCCGCGUGGGGGAUGACGGCCUUCGGGUUGUAAACUCCUUUCGCUAGGGACGAAGCGUUUUUGUGACGGUACCUGGAGAAGAAGCACCGGCUAACUACGUG
Molecule: ribosomal RNA, 468 nt
Filed under: uncultured bacterium
Lineage: Bacteria
Description: partial 16S ribosomal RNA
Rfam family: Bacterial small subunit ribosomal RNA
Source: RNAcentral